UCCUGGCGACCAUAGCAUCAUGGAACCACCUGACCCCAUCCCGAACUCAGCAGUGAA
This 57-nucleotide ribosomal RNA is filed under the name Legionella londiniensis. Lineage: Bacteria; Pseudomonadati; Pseudomonadota; Gammaproteobacteria; Legionellales; Legionellaceae. The record is from RNAcentral.